Molecule: long non-coding RNA, 192 nt
Organism: Andrographis paniculata
Lineage: Eukaryota; Viridiplantae; Streptophyta; Magnoliopsida; Lamiales; Acanthaceae
Exons: 3
Source: RefSeq, a predicted model, not a curated record
GUUUCCUCUCUCACAGGCGACACCGCCAAAGUUCUCUGCAGAGCGCUUCGUCUUCUCCGGUGCAAAUGUGCGAAAAAAAUAGUACAUGGAUUUAUAUAAAAGAACAGCACGUGAAGAAGCUGCUAGACUAUAGCGGAUCGAACUGAGCAUUUUGAAUUAAAAAAAAGGUGGCUUUGUGAGAGGAUUACUCAC